Pygocentrus nattereri (red-bellied piranha) is the source of this 450-nucleotide long non-coding RNA. RefSeq lists it as uncharacterized. The record is from RefSeq and is a predicted model, not a curated record. Lineage: Eukaryota; Metazoa; Chordata; Actinopteri; Characiformes; Serrasalmidae. The transcript is spliced from 5 exons.
CCGCAUGCGCAGCUGUUGGAGGUCGUUGAGACGGGAGACGCUUUUACUCAAAUCCUUUAACAUGUGUAAAGUACGAGGAACAAUGGGCGAGCAUCUUCGACCACCGUGAGAAAAGGUUGGCAAGCUGAAGUGAUCCUGAUGUCCGACUGGUGAUUCGGACCACGUGGCUCUUGAGAUGAGUGAUGGCCGUGGUAUCUGGAAUGUGACUUGACGGUACUGAUGCAGCAGGUGUGGCAGAAAUGGUGGUCUCAGGCUUGCCUGGCUUAUCCUGGAUCCAGACUGUUCUCAUGCAUCAUGGAUCAGGUGUUGGAAGCUGAGUAUUACCAGUGUGCUUCAGAGCUGGAUUCCACAUGGAUGGUUGAAAAGAACAAGAUGUGAAUAAAUGCAAAACUUUAUUCAUCUGUACAAACCUUGAACAUCUUGGCAUAUAAAUAAAGGAAUUGCACAAUU